RNAcentral lists this unclassified non-coding RNA (654 nucleotides) under Allium siculum. Its description in RNAcentral is "sequence contains ITS1, 5.8S rRNA gene and ITS2". The stretch from base 248 to 403 matches the Rfam family "5.8S ribosomal RNA". Lineage: Eukaryota; Viridiplantae; Streptophyta; Magnoliopsida; Asparagales; Amaryllidaceae. The record is from RNAcentral.
UCGAGCCUCACUUUAAUAGAUUGAGAUCAUGUAGCAUUACCCGUCAACUACAAGGUUGAUUUGUAAGUGCACUCUACCUUCUUGAUGGAUGUCCCUUUGUCUUCCUCGGCUUGCUUCAUUAGAAACAAGAAGGAAACCGGAAAAACAAYCAAGGUACGAUUUGUGCCAAGGAUGCCAGUUGUUCGAAUGCAAUGCCUCCUUCUUUUUGUUGCGCGGAGUGUUCGCCCACUGGUGUGAGAUUUUGCAUGACUCUUGGUAAUGGAUAUCUUGGCUCUCGCAUCGAUGAAGAACGUAGCGAAAUGCGAUACUUGGUGUGAAUUGCAGAAUCCCAUGAACCAUCGAAUCUUCGAACGCAAGUUGCAUCCGAGACCUUCGGGUCGAGGGCACGUCUGCUUGGACGUCAUGCUUUGAGUCACUCCAAGCACCUCCCCUACACUAAACUGUUGUGUGAGUAUCAGUGUGCAUGGAUGUGGAUAUUGAUCCAUUGUGCUUUUGAGGUGCGGUGGAUUUAAGUAGUGGACGUCGCAAGGUUUGCAUUUGGUAAACGGUGGAUCGAGUAAAUGCAUGAAGCCUCCAUUUGCACACAUGAUUCCUAUACAUGAUGUAUAGUAAGUAAAAUCCAUAACGAUGUUUGCGCUUUAGCAAGAUCGAACC